This 209-nucleotide microRNA precursor is filed under the name Oryza brachyantha (malo sina). RNAcentral's name for it is "MIR812 microRNA precursor family". It matches the Rfam family "MIR812 microRNA precursor family". The record is from Rfam by way of RNAcentral. Lineage: Eukaryota; Viridiplantae; Streptophyta; Magnoliopsida; Poales; Poaceae.
AAUAAAUCAAUCUUUUACUUUUUAUCUACAAUGUUUGACACUUCAUGUUAUUCAAUUUUUUUACGAUUAAUAAUUUUGUCUUUAUUAGAUGAUAAAUUAUAAAUAAUACUUUACGUGAGACUAAUUUUUUCUCAAUUUCUUAAAAAAUGUUUAAAUAAGGAGAAUAAUCAAAUUAAUGCUGGACACGGAAACCGAAAGUUUAACUUAGA